CUUUGAGAGAGAGUUCUCGAGGGCGUGAACCGCUGAGAAGCAAACGGAUAGAGUUAACGAAACGGGAUGGUUUUCAGUCUGUCUACGUUGCGGUAUCCAUAGUUGUACGCCUGAAUAAGGGUAGUGCUGUGGAGUGUGCUGCAUGCGUAUGGCCGGUGCAUUUGCCAUCUGUAUGCGCUGAGAGGUUCGCUAUGAUGCGUUGACGCGUGUUGAAGAGGACCACGGUCUGUAUUGAUUGUGGAAACCUUUGAGCGUUUAAGCGUAUUCAUUGUGAACAAAGAAUUGUGCCUAGCUGAUUUGUGCAACAGUUUGCGCGUGGUUUGUGCUGGUGUUUUGGCGGUCGCAUGCGACUUGUAAACAGUUUGGCACAUACUCGUUGUUGAAUACGGUUGCGUUGGGUGUCAUUUUUCGGUGUGAAAGUUGACCACCUAUCCGACCCGUCUUGAAACACGGACCAAGGAGUCUAGCGCAUACGCAAGUCAUUGGGUGGUAAACCUAAAGGCGUAAUGAAAGUGAAUGCUGACUAGAGCGGCUGAUAUGGGAUCUGUGUGGGGGCAUUAAAGACUUACACGAUACACCAUAGCCCCGUCGAUAUUGCUUGCAAUAAGGCGGAGGUAGAGCGUAUACGCUGGGACCCGAAAGAUGGUGAACUAUGCCUGAGCAGGAUGAAGCCAGAGGAAACUCUGGUGGAGGUCCGAAGCGGUUCUGACGAGCAAAUCGAU
Molecule: ribosomal RNA, 722 nt
Filed under: Mesidionema sp. SES-2009
Lineage: Eukaryota; Metazoa; Nematoda; Chromadorea; Rhabditida; Mesidionematidae
Description: eukaryotic LSU rRNA
Rfam family: Eukaryotic large subunit ribosomal RNA
Source: RNAcentral